UCCCGCCGGCGGACCGGCGCACGGGUGAGUAACACGUAUGAAACCUGCCCGUAGCAGGGGGAUAAGCGGAAGAAAUUCCGUCUAAUACCGCGUAACAACCCAUGGAGGCAUCUCCGUGGGUUUAAAGGAAGCGAUUCCGGCUACGGAUGGUCAUGCGUCGCAUUAGCUUGUUGGCGGGGUAACGGCCCACCAAGGCGACGAUGCGUAGGGGUUCUGAGAGGAAGGUCCCCCACACUGGUACUGAGACACGGACCAGACUCCUACGGGAGGCAGCAGUGAGGAAUAUUGGUCAAUGGCCGCAGGGCUGAACCAGCCAAGUCGCGUGAGGGAUGACGGUCCUAUGGAUUGUAAACCUCUUUUGUCAGGGAGCAAAGGGCGCCACGUGUGGCGUUUUGCGAGUACCUGAAGAAAAAGCAUCGGCUAACUCCGUGCCAGCAGCCGCGGUAAUACGGAGGAUGCGAGCGUUAUCCGGAUUUAUUGGGUUUAAAGGGUGCGCAGGCGGAAUGUCAAGUCAGCGGUAAAAUUUCGGGGCUCAACCCCGUCGUGCCGUUGAAACUGGCGUUCUUGAGUGAGCGAGAAGUAUGCGGAAUGCGUGGUGUAGCGGUGAAAUGCAUAGAUAUCACGCAGAACUCCGAUUGCGAAGGCAGCAUACCGGCGCUCAACUGACGCUCAUGCACGAAAGCGUGGGUAUCGAACAGGAUUAGAUACCCUGGUAGUCCACGCAGUAAACGAUGAAUACUAACUGUCCGGGCCGAUUGAGGUCUGGGUGGUACAGCGAAAGCG
RNAcentral lists this ribosomal RNA (783 nucleotides) under uncultured bacterium. RNAcentral describes it as "bacterial SSU rRNA". It matches the Rfam family "Bacterial small subunit ribosomal RNA", at positions 82 to 859 of the family's 1533-position model. The record is from RNAcentral.